GAACGCAUAUUGCGCUCUUUGGUAUUCCGAAGAGCAUGCUUGUUUGAGUAUCAGUAAACACCUCAAAGACUUCAAUUUGUUUUGAAUGGCUUUGGACUUGAGCAAUCCCAACACCAGUCUUUACGAUCGGUGGAGGGUUGCUUGAAAUGCAGGUGCAGCUGGACAUUCUCCUGAGCUAAAAGCAUAUUUAUUUAGUCCCGUCAAACGGAUUAUUACUUUUGCUGCAGCUAACAUAAAGGGAGUUUGACCGUAUUGGCUGACUGAUGCAGGAUUUCACAAGGGUCGGCAACGAUUCUUGUAAAACUCGAUCUCAAAUCAAGUAAGACUACCCGCUGAACUUAAG
Molecule: unclassified non-coding RNA, 343 nt
Filed under: Linnemannia exigua
Lineage: Eukaryota; Fungi; Mortierellomycota; Mortierellomycetes; Mortierellales; Mortierellaceae
Description: sequence contains 5.8S rRNA gene
Rfam family: 5.8S ribosomal RNA (bases 1-53)
Source: RNAcentral